GAGCACACUGGUUGCUGCUUGCUAUCAACCCUAUAAGGGAAGUCGUGUAUUAUCUGAAUUCGGUAAAUGGUGAAUGGACCAAUUAUCCGGCCAUGAAGGACAUCGUUGAUUUAUCAAUACAAGUGUUCCGAAGUCAACGGGACGCACAGGUAUCCCGAACUAAAUCUAGCAACAUUACUUGGAUCCAAGUGCAGUGCCCGCAACAGAAAAACAGUUACGAUUGCGGAUACUUUGUAUUGAGGUUUAUGAAAGAAAUCCUUCAGGCAAAUCAAUUAGAGAUUCCGAUCACGU
Long non-coding RNA from Vicia villosa (hairy vetch), 291 nucleotides. RefSeq lists it as uncharacterized. Lineage: Eukaryota; Viridiplantae; Streptophyta; Magnoliopsida; Fabales; Fabaceae. The transcript is spliced from 3 exons. The record is from RefSeq and is a predicted model, not a curated record.